This 466-nucleotide ribosomal RNA is filed under the name uncultured bacterium. RNAcentral describes it as "partial 16S ribosomal RNA". It matches the Rfam family "Bacterial small subunit ribosomal RNA", at positions 28 to 507 of the family's 1533-position model. The record is from RNAcentral.
GACGAACGCUGGCGGCGUGCUUAACACAUGCAAGUCGAACGGUAAGGCUCCAGCUUGCUGGGGUACACGAGUGGCGAACGGGUGAGUAACACGUGGGUGACCUGCCCUGCACUUUGGGAUAAGUCUGGGAAACUGGGUCUAAUACCGGAUAGGACCAUGGUGUGCAUAGUGUGGUGGGAAGAUUUUUCGGUGUGGGAUGGGCCCGCGGCCUAUCAGCGUGUUGGUGGGGUAAUGGCCUACCAAGGCGGCGACGGGUAGCCGGCCUGAGAGGGUGGACGGCCACAUUGGGACUGAGACACGGCCCAGACUCCUACGGGAGGCAGCAGUGGGGAAUAUUGCACAAUGGGCGGAAGCCUGAUGCAGCGACGCCGCGUGGGGGAUGACGGCCUUCGGGUUGUAAACUCCUUUCACCAUCGACGAAGGGUGUCUGACGGUAGAGGGAGAAGAAGCACCGGCUAACUACGUG